GUUUUUAUUACUCUCUCUCUCAAUCAUCGUUCUUUUUUCCCCCAAAACCCUAGAGGCGAAUUCAUCUCCCUCCUCCAGAUCUCAAUCUCCCUCUUCCGGAUCUCAGUGAACAAUCGACGCCAAACCUCUGCAUCAUCAUCCUUCAAUUGUUCCUCGCCGAUUCAUCAUUCCCAAUGACCAGACCUAAUCAUCUCGAUUCUUUCAUCGAUCGUCAUUUUUUUCUGAUAAAGUUGAUCGUGUUUGUUUGGGGGGGGGGGGGGGGGGGUAUUCCACGGUCCUCCCAACCGCCGAGGUGAUCCCACCUCGCAGGCGACCACCCAGCAAGCCUGAGUCUGGGGGUAAAUCCACUACCGUAGGGGCAUUCGGAACGAGCAAGACUCGAACCCGCCACCUCCGAGUUAGAAUGCGAGCUGGUGGCCAUUGGGCUUACACCCAAUGGUUAAGUUGAUCGUGUUUGUUGAAUGUUUCAACGGUUGGAUUUUGUUUCAAUCGAUCUUAACAAACUGGAUUGUGGAGACGAUGAGAAGAGUAGAGAAGUUAGUAUUGUAGAAGGAAUGGAUGCUUGCUUAUUACAGUGAUUCGAGGAUUAGUGUUUCACUGUCUUCAUCACCUGCUACUAUUAGUUUCAGAUUCUUAGACCACCUCUGAAAUUAGUCGCUUGAUUCCUCAAUUAUGCUCCCUAAUUCUAAUUCUUAGAGUAUAUUUCCGAAAAUGGUAUCUUAGGGGUUUAAGGGAAAGUCCUGCAACAUCUGGCGCAUUUGUAAAUAAGUUUAUCAAUUUGGAUUAUCGAUCAUAUAUAUGGUUCUUGAAAUGGAUGUCGGAUGCUCUAAAAAUGCCCGAGCCUGAACUCAUUGAUCAUGCUGGAUUGGAUUCUGCCAUCUAUUUGCGGAUUUACUUGCCAUGGUUAAGACAAGUUAUUAGCUUUUUGGUUAUACACUUACACCCAUCUUGGUUGAUUUUAAUCUACAAUUUUAACCCGGUUUCCUAUCAGAAACCCUAAAUCGUGUUCGGGUGAACUCUCAUAGAUCGGGGAUUUGAAGGCGUCAAACUAAAAGAGAGAAAUUAGCAACUGCAAUCAACAUGUGUUUGGAUAUUUCUGCCAAAGAAUUCAGAGUUCGAUGUAGGGUUGUAGGGGCGGAGAUCGGUGGUUGGUGAAGCAUUGUGGGAGGGUGGGCCUCGGAGCUGCGUGAAGGAAUCAGAAGGGUUUCAAAGACAAAUACCCACAUGGAACAUUGCAGUUGAUCAAAAUCAUAUUAGGAAACCACGAAGAUGAACUUGAUAAUAACAAAGAGACUUGCCUGUCAUGUAGAUAGCCAUCAAAAUGAAUAAAUUUGCUCGUGAAGAGAGGUUUUUGCUCUGGGCAGUUUGUAGCAUUCAGUUACAGGUUUAUAUUUUAUACUUUUGUACACGAUUAACUAUAUUCUAUAAGCUGUUAAUGGCUUAUAUUAUAUACUUUUAUACACGAUCAACAAUAUGGCGAUGGAGAUCUUGAAAUGGGAACACAACAUAACGCGAAUUCUGGAGAAUUAGGGUUGAAUGAAUUCUUCAAGAAGGUUCAAUCCAUUGAGAAACAAUAUGAGAAGUUGAAUAAACUACUAAAAAAAUACAGGAUGCCCAUGAGGAGUCAAAGGGUGUAACCAAGGCUGCUGCUAUGAAAUCAACACAUGGAGAAAGAUGUUGACGAGGUUGGAAAAGUUGCACGGUUUAUUAAAUAAAAAAUUGAGGAACUUGACAAGGAGAAUUUGGCAAAUAGACAGAAACCCGGGUGUGGAAAAGGAACAGGAGUAGACCGAUCAAGAACCGCAACCACACUGUCAUUGAUAUCGAAGACAAGGAGAUCAAAGAACUAACUGGAUUUAGGGUUUUUGUUAUUGCUGAGAGGCGUGAGUGGAGUAGGUGGUUUGAGUGGGAAAAUCUGGUUGAAGAUAGGUUGUCAGUGGUAUGGGCGGAGAUGAUUGUGAGCCAUUUGUAGUAAAGGAGGAGGAUUUCCAGUUUCAUUCCAGGAGGUCUUCAAGCAUCAGUGGGGAAGAUAGUCGAGAAGGUUAAAAGAAUGAGCUUUCUCGGGAUAAAAGCCCGAGCAAAGGAUCAAUUGCUCAACUGGGAAGAUUGGUGCAGGUUUGACAUCUUUAGGGACAAUGGGUAGCUUGUGUUGGCAUGGGGUUUUGUUUAUUGUAAGCUUCUGUUUUUGUUUUCAGUUUGGUGUAAGUUUCCGUUUGGUGGAUGUAUGUUUGGCGCUAGCGCCUUGCUAGAAUUUGAAUAAAGUUUAUGUUGGUUGUUCAGAAAAACAUUGGGUUGAUGGAUAAAAGGGUCUGGUUUUGUAUUUUAAUUUUGUUUGAUUUGACAAUAAGGUGUUCAGUUUGUCUACUCUUAUUUU
Molecule: long non-coding RNA, 2374 nt
Filed under: Helianthus annuus (common sunflower)
Lineage: Eukaryota; Viridiplantae; Streptophyta; Magnoliopsida; Asterales; Asteraceae
Description: hypothetical non coding rna
Source: RNAcentral